Molecule: non-coding RNA, 72 nt
Organism: Aedes aegypti (yellow fever mosquito)
Lineage: Eukaryota; Metazoa; Arthropoda; Insecta; Diptera; Culicidae
Source: Rfam
GGCUCGGUAGCUUAGUUGGUAAAGCGCUCGUCUAGUAUACAAGAGUCCUGGGUUCAAAUCCCAGCCGAGCAC